RNAcentral lists this ribosomal RNA (497 nucleotides) under uncultured bacterium. RNAcentral's name for it is "partial 16S ribosomal RNA". It matches the Rfam family "Bacterial small subunit ribosomal RNA", at positions 28 to 507 of the family's 1533-position model. The record is from RNAcentral.
GAUGAACGCUGGCGGCGUGCCUAAUACAUGCAAGUCGAGCGAACAGACGAGGAGCUUGCUCCUCUGACGUUAGCGGCGGACGGGUGAGUAACACGUGGAUAACCUACCUAUAAGACUGGGAUAAUUUCGGGAAACCGGAGCUAAUACCGGAUAAUAUAUUGAACCGCAUGGUUCAAUAGUGAAAGACGGUUUUGCUGUCACUUAUAGAUGGAUUCGCGCCGCAUUAGCUAGUUGGUAAGGUAACGGCUUACCAAGGCGACGAUGCGUAGCCGACCUGAGAGGGUGAUCGGCCACACUGGAACUGAGACACGGUCCAGACUCCUACGGGAGGCAGCAGUAGGGAAUCUUCCGCAAUGGGCGAAAGCCUGACGGAGCAACGCCGCGUGAGUGAUGAAGGUCUUCGGAUCGUAAAACUCUGUUAUUAGGGAAGAACAAAUGUGUAAGUAACUAUGCACGUCUUGACGGUACCUAAUCAGAAAGCCACGGCUAACUACGUG